Molecule: ribosomal RNA, 207 nt
Filed under: uncultured delta proteobacterium
Lineage: Bacteria; Deltaproteobacteria
Description: partial 16S ribosomal RNA
Rfam family: Bacterial small subunit ribosomal RNA
Source: RNAcentral
CGUGUAGGCUGCCUCGAAAGUCGGAUGUGAAAGCCCUGGGCUCAACCUAGGAAGUGCAUUCGAUACUGCGAGGCUGGAGUCCUGGAGAGGAAGGCGGAAUUCUCGGUGUAGAGGUGAAAUUCGUAGAUAUCGAGAGGAACACCGGUGGCGAAGGCGGCCUUCUGGACAGUGACUGACGCUGAGACGCGAAAGCGUGGGGAGCAAACA